Rosa rugosa (rugosa rose) is the source of this 3467-nucleotide long non-coding RNA. RefSeq lists it as uncharacterized. The record is from RefSeq and is a predicted model, not a curated record. The transcript has 6 exons. Lineage: Eukaryota; Viridiplantae; Streptophyta; Magnoliopsida; Rosales; Rosaceae.
CCGUUUCAGUCAACGAAAUCAUUAGCUUUCUACUAUGGUGCUUCGUCGAUGCAAUGGAGCGUCAUGCUUGGACAACUCCAACAUGAUUUGGGUACUUACAUUGAUUCCAUUUCAAACUCCAACUCGCUCCAAAUCGACAUAAGAUAAGUAACUUUAUCUCACUACACACUCUUUCAAUUAGAGCUAUUGCCAUGCUUUGUCAUGCUUAUAAAUAACUUUUAGAGCAUGCUUAUAACACAUGUUAUAUAUUUUUUUAGUAGCACACCUACUAUGCACACAUCCUAGUGCCAUGCUUUAAAUGUCUCCAUAAUCCUUAAGCAUGCUUACAAAAGGCAAAAAUAUUAUUAGCAACUUUACUACAAGUACAUGCUACACAUGUCAUGCUCUAUUUAAAUGCAAUCUAAUUAAAUAAACAUGUGACACUCACUUAAACAAACUAUGUCAUGUCUAGAAGCUUGUGACACUUGUGACUUAAUUAAACAUGCUCGGAUAACGAUUUUCUCGGGUUACGACUCGCUUGGGUGUCGAGCAUGGCCACGACUUGCUGGGGCCACGCCCCUCAUGCUCGCACAGCGCCUACCCGCUCAACUACACCCAACUUGCUCGAAUACAACCUAGCUCGCUCAAACAUAUCUAACAUGCUUUAGUUAAGUCCUAAUAGUUCACUACGCUUCAUACUAUUCACGGGGAACUUACCCUCAAAUUUUAUAUGGACACCCAUUACACUUGCCACUAUCUAAUAUACAUGUUACAUGGUCAUAAAGAUCCACAUAAUAUUACUUGCUAUGUUUAUUUCACUACAACAAAUUCUGGCAUUAGUGACCAAAUUGUCAGUGACCACAUCAAUGUUGGUCACAAAUAGUAUUGAAUUAGUGACCACUAUUAGCAGCUGGUAACUAACACUUUUAAUGACCAAAAGUUUCAGUAUUAGUGACCAUUUACGUUGGGUCAGUAAUGUUUCAAGACUUUAUAAUACGUGGGUUUUGGUUUAGUGACCAAAACUUUUCGGCUGAUUGGAGGGAAUUUUUCUCUUUGAUUUAUGUAGGCGGUAAGGCGGGUUGGUUUCAAAAUUAAAAGUCAAAUUCUUUUAUGAGCGCGGCAUUCAAAAACGAAGUCUUACAUAAUUUAUACCCAAACUGACAGAUAUAAUCCCGAGUCUUUUUCGAGGCGGUUCUAAUCUUCAUCGUUCUCUUCCCUCACUCCUCUUCUCUCAAACAGAAUCCUUUUGCUUCAUGGUACUCAUCGCUGAGCUGCUGUGUGGGUUGAAGAAGGGGGGCGUUGUGGAGCUAACCCUGGUCACGGGGAUAGGCUUCGAGAUUGAUCAGAUCGAACCGCCAGAGAAUUAUCCUAUGUUUCUUAUUUUCACAACGGGAUCUGGAAUCAGGUCUCUGAUUGCGUCAGGGUUUAAUGCUGGUAAGGGAUCCGACGUGAAACUCUUCUAUGGGGCCAGAAAUCUUGACAGAAUGGCUUAUCAGCUCUGUAAUAAUGUUGUUCUUGUUCAUUUUCAUGUGUUUUCUAGGGUUAUUCUUUUUUGAUUUGUGAUUAAUUUUGUUUGAUUGAUGUCUGCAAUGUGCGUUUUGCUUUAUUUUGGUUCUAAUUGCAAAGUGGUUUGAACGGGCAUGGAAAUCUUCUAGAGAAACUAAUCUGGAAACCAACUAAAUCUGAGAGCUUUGGUACUUAAAAUUUUUUUAGAUAUUAUUUUAAUUGAGUUUGCAAAUUUUGAAUUGGGGAUUUAAGUUUUGGGUUGAGAAAAAGUUCAUGGUCAGUGAUGUGAAUGAAUUGAGACGCAUGCAUCUUCUAAACUGUUUUUUUGACGGUUCCCUCACAGAUAAUAGGAAGCCGCAGCUUGAAGAAAAUUCUUGAUGCUGUGAUUUCCAAGUACAAGUAUUUGUUAAAGAUACUCUAUCAAGGUGUACAUAUGACAAGUACAAUAUGAUGUUGAAAACAUAAUAUGAUUUAAUUUUUCUUUAGGGGUUUGAUCUGAUGAUUGAUACAAUUUGUUAUAAUUGAAUUCACAGUGGAAUUACUUUUGUAUCUGUGUUUGGUUUAGCUAUGUUUUCCCCUUUGCUACUUGGUGUUUUUAAUUUAAAGGUGGUCAAUUUGGACUUACUGUGUUUAGUGGAGGGCUGCAGAGCGAAUCAAGAAGAGUAGUACAUGGUGGAGAGAUGGGUUCAGCCUUGGCAACAACGGGAUCAAUGUAUAUGAUUGAAGGUGAGAAGGGAGUGAGUCAUGGAAAUAAGGCUAAACUUUUCAUUCACGUAUACUGCUUUGAACUUUUUUGUUUCACUCUUGUCUACAGAUUUCGUAUAUGCAUUUGUUUGUUGAGCAUGAAAAUGUUACAGACAGUACUAUUUGGAGGGAUUGGAGGAAACUUUUAGCGACCCAUUUGUUUAGUCUUAAGUUAAGAGGAGAUUUGGUCUUAAAUUUGAAUCUUUAAAGAACUGGUGGCAGGUGAGACUGAGAGUUUGACCAAGAGUGCAAAGACAUGGUGAGAAAUGACCAACAAAUUCGAUGACUCUAACACGAUUCCUUAUGGUUAUUGAGAUUAGUUUAGUUCGUUUUCCAAAAUUUUUUAAUUUCAAAAUGUAGCAGUCCAUUUGAUUAGGUAGCAAGAAAUAGUAGCUUGGUCUUCGUUUCCAAUAUUCUAAUGUUUUUGAUUGUUAGAUUGGAGUUGCCUUGCAGAGGGCAUUACCAUUAUUUUCAUACAUCCUGGUGCUUUCAAUAUUCAUCACGAAUUAAAUGUGUGCGUACUAAUCAAUAAUUCAAGAUUUGAUAGAUUAGAAGGCAUGUAUGGCCCCAGCUGCAACAAAUUUGUUGGUUGGCAAAAUUGUUGGCAUUCUUGAGAACGAAGCAUCCUUCACUGCCGGGAUUCAUGAUCAAGUUGAUGAGAUUAAGCUGGAUCUGGACAAAAGGCACAGGUGGAAGGCGAGUACACACAUACAUGUAGUGGGAAGUUAGACCCCUUUUUGGCAUGUAAUUCAAUAAUUGUUCUUGGAGUGGAUUUGGAAAAGGUGGCAGAAAUAGCAACAACAUCAUCUGCUUUGAAAGAGGAAGAGCUCAAGCUGCGUUUCAAAAUAGCAGUAAGAAUAGCCUCUUUUUUGACAGGGACAUAUCUCUAGCAUUUCCCAACUUUGUGCUCAAUACAACAGCAGAGGAAUAUCAAUUGCCCAGAACUAGACAUAAUUAAAGCCAGAAGUGUUCUCUGCAUGACUGCAUGCAAGAAGAUAAAGAAUAUUGAGAAUCAUGCGCAGGGAAAAAGUCUGGUGUCCUAUUGAUUGGUUACUUAUCAGCAAUGCCUCUGGACUUUGCCUUCUUCACAAGAGUUCCAAUGAGUAUCUAUCAUAGUUAUAUAUUUGUUUGCAUUGCUUAAAUAGUUAAGAGUUUUGCACAGAUAGGUUCUUUUAUUGUUCUAGACUCUGUUUUUUUGUAUUUCACAAUUUUUGUGAGUAUUCAUUACAAUUUACAUA